This 947-nucleotide non-coding RNA is filed under the name Pan troglodytes (chimpanzee). The record is from Rfam by way of RNAcentral. Lineage: Eukaryota; Metazoa; Chordata; Mammalia; Primates; Hominidae.
AGAUAGAUAGGUUUGGUCCUGGUCUUUACACAUGCAAGCAUCCCCACCCCAGUGAAAAAUGCCCUCUACAUCACCCGGAUCAAAAGGAGCAAGUAUCAAGCAUGCACAAAUGCAGCUCAAAAUACUUUGCUCAUCCACACCCCCAUGGGAAACAGCAGUGAUAAAUAUUUAGUAAUAAACGAACGUUUAAGCUAUGCUGAUAUAUAUGGUUGGUCAAUUUCGUGCCAACCACCGUGGCCAUACAAUUAACCCAAGCUAAGAGAACUCGGCGUAAAGAGUGUUUAAGAUCUGCCCUCAAUAAAGCUAAACUCCAUUUAAGUUGUAAAAAACUUAGGCUGAAAUAAAACAUACUACGAAUGUGGCUUUAAUAUCCUGAAGACACGACAGCUAAGAUCCAAACUGGGGUUAGAUACCCCACUAUGCUUAGCCCUAAACUAUAAUAGUUAGUUAUAUUAACAAAACCAUUCGCCAGAAUACUAGAAGCAAUAGCUUAAAACUCAAAGGACUUGGCGGUGCUUUAUAUCCCUCUAGGGGAGCCUGUUCUAUAAUCUAUAAACCCUGAUCUACCUCACCACCUCUUGCCCCCAGCCUAUAUACCGCCAUCUUCAGCAAACCCUAAAAAGGUUAUAGAGUAAGCACAAGUAAUACACAUAAAAACAUUAGGUCAAGGUGUAGCUCAUGAGGUGGGAAGAAAUAGGCUACAUUUUCUAUACCCAGAAAAUCUCACGAGAACCUUUAUGAAAUCUAAAGACUCAAGCGGGAUUUAGCAGUAAACCAAGAGUAGAGUGCUUGGUUGAAUAAGGCCAUGAAGCACACACACACUGCCUGUCACCUUUCCAAAUACUAUUCUAGAAAUCCUUAUUACUAAAAUCUCUCUACACACGUAUAGAGGAGAUAAGUUGUAACAUGGUAAGCAUACUGGAAAGUGCAUUUGGACAAACCAAAGU